RNAcentral lists this small RNA (26 nucleotides) under Bombyx mori (domestic silkworm). RNAcentral's name for it is "ovarian small RNA-20601". The record is from RNAcentral. Lineage: Eukaryota; Metazoa; Arthropoda; Insecta; Lepidoptera; Bombycidae.
UACCAUAGAUUGCAAUCCGAUUCAUG